AGAGUUGAUCCUGGCUUAGGAUGAACGCUAGCGGCAGGCUAACACAUGCAAGUCGAGGGGCAGCGGGGAUAGCAAUAUCCGCCGGCGACCGGCGAAAGGGUGCGUAACGCGUGAGCAACCUGCCCGUAUCCGGGGCAUAAGCGGUGGAAACGCCGUCUAAUUUCCCAUAACAACAGAGGCUGCAUGACCUUUGUUUGAAAGAUCCGUCGGAUACGGAUGGGCUCGCGAGACAUUAGCUAGUCGGCGUGGUAACGGCACACCGAGGCGACGAUGUCUAGGGGUUCUGAGAGGAAGGUCCCCCCACACUGGAACUGAGACACGGUCCAGACUCCUACGGGAGGCAGCAGUGAGGAAUAUUGGUCAAUGGGCGCAAGCCUGAACCAGCCAUGCCGCGUGAAGGAAUGAGGCCCUAUGGGUCGUAAACUUCUUUUGUGGUGGAGCAAUAAGGCGUACGUGUACGCUGAUGAGAGUACAUCACGAAUAAGCAUCGGCUAACUCCGUGCCAGCAGCGGC
This 513-nucleotide ribosomal RNA is filed under the name uncultured bacterium. RNAcentral's name for it is "bacterial SSU rRNA". It matches the Rfam family "Bacterial small subunit ribosomal RNA", at positions 8 to 518 of the family's 1533-position model. The record is from RNAcentral.